UACGAGGGGGGCAAGUGUUGUUCGGAAUUACUGGGCGUAAAGGGAGCGUAGGCGGGCUCUUAAGUUGGAUGUUUAAAACCGGGGCCUAACCCCGGCGUGGCAUCCAAAACUGGGAGUCUUGAAUGGGACAGAGGCCAGUGGAAUUAGAGGUGUAACGGUGGAAUGCGUAGAUAUCUCUAAGAACACCAGUUGCGAAGGCGGCUGGCUGGGUCCACAUUGACGCUGAGGCUCGAAAGCGUGGGGAGCAAACAGG
This 253-nucleotide ribosomal RNA is filed under the name uncultured bacterium. RNAcentral's name for it is "partial 16S ribosomal RNA". It matches the Rfam family "Bacterial small subunit ribosomal RNA", at positions 524 to 776 of the family's 1533-position model. The record is from RNAcentral.